GAUGAAGAACGUAGCGAAAUGCGAUAAGUAAUGUGAAUUGCAGAAUUCAGUGAAUCAUCGAAUCUUUGAACGCACCUUGCGCCCUUUGGCUAUUCCAGAGGGCAUGCCUGUUUGAGUAUCAUGAACACCUCAACUCUCAUGGUUCUGCCAUGAUGAGCUUGGACUUUGGAGGUCUUGCUGGCCCCUGUGGUCAGCUCCUCUCAAAUGGAUCAGCUUGCCAGUGUUUGGUGGCAUCACAGGUGUGAUAACUAUCUACGCUUGUGGUUUUCCACCAGGUAACCUUCAGUGAUGGAGGUUCGCUGGAGCUCAUAAACGUCUCUCCUCAGCGAGGACAGCUUCUUGAACGUUUGAUCUCAAAUCAGGUAGGGCUACCCGCUGAACUUACGCAUAUCAAUAAGCGGAGGA
This 405-nucleotide unclassified non-coding RNA is filed under the name soil metagenome. RNAcentral's name for it is "partial contains 5.8S ribosomal RNA, internal transcribed spacer 2, and large subunit ribosomal RNA". The stretch from base 1 to 121 matches the Rfam family "5.8S ribosomal RNA", at positions 35 to 154 of the family's 154-position model. The record is from RNAcentral.